This 589-nucleotide ribosomal RNA is filed under the name uncultured bacterium. RNAcentral describes it as "bacterial SSU rRNA". It matches the Rfam family "Bacterial small subunit ribosomal RNA", at positions 145 to 749 of the family's 1533-position model. The record is from RNAcentral.
AGCCUCGGGAAACUGGGAGUAAUGCCUUAUAAGAUACGUUUGUCGCAUGGCAUUUGUAUUAAACGCUCCGGCGCCAUAGGAUGGACCCGCGUCCCAUUAGCUAGUUGGUGAGAUAACAGCUCACCAAGGCCACGAUGGGUAACCGGUCUGAGAGGGCGAACGGUCACACUGGAACUGAGACACGGUCCAGACUCCUACGGGAGGCAGCAGUGGGGAAUAUUGCGCAAUGGGGGCAACCCUGACGCAGCAAUACCGCGUGAGUGAAGAAGGUUUUCGGAUCGUAAAGCUCUGUUAUUGGGGAAGAAAAAAAGACGGUACCCAAGAAGAAAGUUCCGGCUAACUACGUGCCAGCAGCCGCGGUAAUACGUAGGGAACAAGCGUUGUCCGGAUUUACUGGGCGUAAAGGGCACGCAGGCGGUUUUUUAAGUCAGAUGUGAAAGGCCACAGCUCAACUGUGGACAUGCAUUUGAAACUGAAAGACUUGAGUAUUGGAGAGGCAAGUGGAAUUCCUAGUGUAGCGGUGAAAUGCGUAGAUAUUAGGAGGAACACCGGUGGCGAAGGCGGCUUGCUGGACAAAUACUGACGCUGA